GGGCCCGCACAAGCGGUGGAGCAUGUGGUUUAAUUCGAUGCAACGCGAAGAACCUUACCAGGUCUUGACAUCCUCGGAACUUGGCAGAGAUGCCUUGGUGCCUUCGGGAGCCGAGUGACAGGUGCUGCAUGGCCGUCGUCAGCUCGUGUCGUGAGAUGUUGGGUUAAGUCCCGUAACGAGCGCAACCCUUGUCCUUAGUUGCCAGCACGUCAUGGUGGGAACUCUAGGGAGACUGCCGGUGACAAACCGGAGGAAGGUGGGGACGACGUCAGGUCAUCAUGGCCCUUACGACCUGGGCUACACACGUGCUACAAUGGCUGGUACAGAGGGUUGCGAAGUCGCGAGGCGAAGCUAAUCCCUUAAAGCCAGUCGUAGUCCGGAUCGGAGUCUGCAACUCGACUCCGUGAAGUCGGAAUCGCUAGUAAUCGC
RNAcentral lists this ribosomal RNA (429 nucleotides) under uncultured bacterium. Its description in RNAcentral is "bacterial SSU rRNA". It matches the Rfam family "Bacterial small subunit ribosomal RNA", at positions 917 to 1345 of the family's 1533-position model. The record is from RNAcentral.